CCUACGGGAGGCUGCAGUGGGGGAUAUUGCACAAUGGGGGGAACCCUGAUGCAGCGACGCCGCGUGGGUGAAGAAGCGCCUCGGCGCGUAAAGCCCUGUCAGCAGGGAAGAAAAUGACGGUACCUGAAGAAGAAGCCCCGGCUAACUACGUGCCAGCAGCCGCGGUAAUACGUAGGGGGCAAGCGUUAUCCGGAUUUACUGGGUGGAAAGGGGGCGGAGACGGCGAUGCAAGCCAGGAGUGAAGGCCCGGGGCCCAACCCCGGGACUGCUCUUGGAACUGCGUGGCUGGAGUGCAGGAGGGGCAGGCGGAAUUCCUGGUGUAGCGGUGAAAUGCGUAGAUAUCAGGAGGAACACCGGUGGCGAAGGCGGCCUGCUGGACUGCAACUGACGUUGAGGCCCGAAAGCGUGGGGAGCAAACAGGAUUAGAUACCCUUGUAGUC
This 440-nucleotide ribosomal RNA is filed under the name uncultured bacterium. Its description in RNAcentral is "partial 16S ribosomal RNA". It matches the Rfam family "Bacterial small subunit ribosomal RNA", at positions 338 to 795 of the family's 1533-position model. The record is from RNAcentral.